Molecule: ribosomal RNA, 661 nt
Filed under: uncultured fungus
Lineage: Eukaryota; Fungi
Description: eukaryotic LSU rRNA
Rfam family: Eukaryotic large subunit ribosomal RNA
Source: RNAcentral
ACCCGCUGAACUUAAGCAUAUCAAUAAGCGGAGGAAAAGAAACUAACAAGGAUUCCCCUAGUAACUGCGAGUGAAGCGGGAAAAGCUCAAAUUUGAAAUCUGGCGGUCCUUGCGGCUGUCCGAGUUGUAAUUUAGAGAAGUGUUACCCGUGCUGGACCGUAUACAAGUCCUCUGGAAUGGGGCGUCAUAGAGGGUGAGAAUCCCGUCUUUGAUACGGACUACCAGUGCUUUGCGGUGCGCUCUCGAAGAGUCGAGUUGUUUGGGAAUGCAGCUCAAAAUGGGUGGUAAAUUCCAUCUAAAGCUAAAUACAGGCGAGAGACCGAUAGCGAACAAGUACCGUGAGGGAAAGAUGAAAAGAACUUUGGAAAGAGAGUUAAACAGUACGUGAAAUUGCUGAAAGGGAAACGCUUGAAGUCAGUCGCGUUGGCUCGGAAUCAACCAUGCUCUUGCUUGGUGUACUUCCUUGUCGAUGGGUCAGCAUCAGUUUCGAUCGCUGGAUAAAGGUCAUUGGAAUGUGGCACCCUCGGGUGUGUUAUAGCCUUUGAUCGUAUACAGUGGUUGGGACUAAGGAACUCAGCACGCCGCAAGGCCGGGUUUUUAACCACGUAACGUGCUUAGGAUGCUGGCAUAAUGGCUUUAAUCGACCCGUCUUGAAACACGG